RNAcentral lists this ribosomal RNA (793 nucleotides) under uncultured archaeon. Its description in RNAcentral is "bacterial SSU rRNA". It matches the Rfam family "Archaeal small subunit ribosomal RNA", at positions 85 to 879 of the family's 1478-position model. The record is from RNAcentral.
ACUGCUCAGUAACACGUGGACAACCUGCCCUUAGGUUGGGUAUAAACCCGGGAAACUGGGUAUAAUACCCGAUAGGUCUCGAUUGCUGGAAUGCAUCGAGAUUUAAAGCUCCGGCGCCUAAGGAUGGGUCUGCGGCCUAUCAGGUAGUAGUGGGUGUAGCGUACCUACUAGCCUACGACGGGUACGGGUUGUGAGAGCAAGAGCCCGGAGAUGGAUUCUGAGACACGAAUCCAGGCCCUACGGGGUGCAGCAGGCGCGAAAACUUUACAAUGCUGGCAACAGCGAUAAGGGAACCUCGAGUGCCAGGUUACAAAUCUGGCUGUCGAGAUGCCUAAAAAGCAUUUCAUAGCAAGGGCCGGGCAAGACCGGUGCCAGCCGCCGCGGUAACACCGGCGGCUCGAGUGGUAACCGUUAUUAUUGGGUCUAAAGGGUCUGUAGCCGGCCGGAUAAGUCUCUUGAGAAAUCUGGCAGCUUAACUGUCAGGCUUUCAGGAGAUACCGUCUGGCUCGAGGCCGGGAGAGGUGAGAGGUACUUCAGGGGUAGGGGUGAAAUCUUGUAAUCCUUGAAGGACCACCAGUGGCGAAGGCGUCUCACCAGAACGGACCUGACGGCAAGGGACGAAAGCUAGGGGCACGAACCGGAUUAGAUACCCGGGUAGUCCUAGCCGUAAACGAUACUCGCUAGGUGUCGGCCACGGUGCGACCGUUGUCGGUGCCGUAGGGAAGCCGUGAAGCGAGCCACCUGGGAAGUACGGCCGCAAGGCUGAAACUUAAAGGAAUUGGCGGGGGAGCAC